RNAcentral lists this unclassified non-coding RNA (362 nucleotides) under uncultured Rhodoscypha. RNAcentral describes it as "sequence contains ITS1". The stretch from base 1 to 105 matches the Rfam family "5.8S ribosomal RNA", at positions 50 to 154 of the family's 154-position model. The record is from RNAcentral. Lineage: Eukaryota; Fungi; Ascomycota; Pezizomycetes; Pezizales; Pyronemataceae.
GAAAUGCGAUAAGUAGUGUGAAUUGCAGAAUUCAGUGAAUCAUCGAAUCUUUGAACGCACAUUGCGCCUCCUGGUAUUCCGGGAGGCAUGCCUGUCCGAGCGUCAUUAAACAAAUUCAAGCUUCUUUAAUCUUUUUGCUUGGUCUUGAGGGAUGAGCAAGACAAAAUUGAACUUUUUUUAAAUUUUUGUUCUAUUUUGCUCACCCAUCGAAUUUCAGUGGCGGAUUUAACCAUAGUUGGCCCGGUGUGAUACGUUUUUCAUGUCACUGGUCCAGCUUGUGGCAACCUCCUGUCAAUAGAAACUCCCCUUGAAUAUUAUUAUUAAACGACCUCGGAUCAGGUAGGGAUACCCGCUGAACUUAA